GUCGCUUCUCGGCCUUUUGGCUAAGAUCAAGUGUAGUAUCUGUUCUUAUCAGUUUAAUUCUAGUGGAGCAAAGCUCCCACAGCCACCGGAAGUUACUGAUUGUAUUCUCCUCUUACAAAGCUGUUUAGCCAAUGGGCAGAAUUUUCUGAUGAACUAUGAACUGCUGCCUGACAAAACAUGUUAUUUCUUGGCCUACUGGAACUUGAGGUGUC
RNAcentral lists this small nuclear RNA (212 nucleotides) under Cavia porcellus (domestic guinea pig). Its description in RNAcentral is "U2 spliceosomal RNA". The stretch from base 1 to 146 matches the Rfam family "U2 spliceosomal RNA". From Rfam's summary of the family: U2 is a small nuclear RNA (snRNA) component of the spliceosome (involved in pre-mRNA splicing). Complementary binding between U2 snRNA (in an area lying towards the 5' end but 3' to hairpin I) and the branchpoint sequence (BPS) of the intron results the bulging out of an unpaired adenosine, on the BPS, which initiates a nucleophilic attack at the intronic 5' splice site, thus starting the first of two transesterification reactions that mediate splicing. Lineage: Eukaryota; Metazoa; Chordata; Mammalia; Rodentia; Caviidae. The record is from Rfam by way of RNAcentral.